UACGUAGGGCGCGAGCGUUGUCCGGAAUUAUUGGGCGUAAAGAGCUCGUAGGCGGUCUGUUGCGUCCGCUGUGAAAGCCCGGGGCUUAACCCCGGGUCGGCAGUGGAUACGGGCAGGCUAGAGGUAGGUAGGGGAGAAUGGAAUUCCCGGUGUAGCGGUGAAAUGCGCAGAUAUCGGGAGGAACACCGGUGGCGAAGGCGGUUCUCUGGGCCUUACCUGACGCUGAGGAGCGAAAGCGUGGGGAGCGAACAGG
This 253-nucleotide ribosomal RNA is filed under the name uncultured bacterium. RNAcentral's name for it is "partial 16S ribosomal RNA". It matches the Rfam family "Bacterial small subunit ribosomal RNA", at positions 524 to 776 of the family's 1533-position model. The record is from RNAcentral.